This 237-nucleotide ribosomal RNA is filed under the name uncultured bacterium. RNAcentral's name for it is "partial 16S ribosomal RNA". It matches the Rfam family "Bacterial small subunit ribosomal RNA", at positions 15 to 230 of the family's 1533-position model. The record is from RNAcentral.
GAUCUGGCUCAGGACGAACGCUGGCGGCGUGCUUAACACAUGCAAGUCGAACGAAGAGCGAUGGAAGCUUGCUUCUAUCAAUCUUAGUGGCGAACGGGUGAGUAACGCGUAAUCAACCUGCCCUUCAGAGGGGGACAACAGUUGGAAACGACUGCUAAUACCGCAUACGAUCCAACCUCGGCAUCGAGGAUGGAUGAAAGGUGGCCUCUAUUUAUAAGCUAUCACUGAAGGAGGGGA